Molecule: unclassified non-coding RNA, 208 nt
Filed under: Hevea brasiliensis (rubber tree)
Lineage: Eukaryota; Viridiplantae; Streptophyta; Magnoliopsida; Malpighiales; Euphorbiaceae
Source: RNAcentral
GAAGCUUCGCCUUUACGCUUUAUCCCCAAGAAAUGCUCAACUUUUCUAUCACCAAGCAUGGGUGUCAAGCCACCAGGGAGAUCCUUUUCAACUGUUGCAAAACCACUUCUUGGAUCGCUCGUUUGGCCAGGUUUAACAUGGCCGCUGAGAACAAGAUAAGGGGUCUUUAAUUGUGCUUGAGCUUCCCUCAUUCUCUCCACUGAUAACG